Molecule: long non-coding RNA, 3804 nt
Organism: Panthera uncia (snow leopard)
Lineage: Eukaryota; Metazoa; Chordata; Mammalia; Carnivora; Felidae
Exons: 5
Source: RefSeq, a predicted model, not a curated record
GGGCGGAGAGGUAGACACAGAAUCAAUCCAAAGCAGGCUCCCGGCUCUGAGCUGUCAGCACAGAGUCCAAUAUGGGGCUCCAACUCACAAAUUGUGAGAUCAUGACCUGAGCCAAAGUUGGACGCUAAACCAACUGAACUACUCAGGCACCCCGGGAUCAUUUACAUUUUAAAAGCACCUGCCAUAUUUUGCAGAAAUGAUUUUUUUUUAAGUUUAUUUAUUUUGAGAGACAGAGCAUGAGUGGGGGAGGGACAGAGAGGGGGAGAAUCCCAAGCAGGCUCCAUGCUGUCAGCACGCAGAGUCCCAUGUGAGGCUCAGACUCACUAAACCAUGAGAUCAUGACCUGAGCGAAAUCAAGAGUCAGGGACUUAACCAACUGAACCACCCAGUCGACCCACAAAAAUGAUUUCUUUUGGAAAGAAGUCCUGUGUACCUGUGAGCACCUAUACAGAAGUUAAAAUUCCAAGAUGAUCUGUUGAAUGUUCUUAAUUUGUCCUUCCCUUCCUCCAAUGGUUGUUGCUCAUUGUUUGGGUUCUCCAUACUCAAUACUGGGUUCCAAUACUCAAAUAAUCUUUUAGGAUUAGUACUUAAUCCCAGAAAACAAAAAUAUUCAAGGCAUUCCUAUGGAUUAUGAUGAGGAAAGGGGAAAUUUUAUCAAGAAGAGAUGAGCUAUUAGUAUUACUGUCAACUCCGUGCUCAGAUUCAUAUGGAAAAGUAUAUAAAAUAUCAAAGAUAAAAAAUACAGAAAUUGUUAAAUCAGGAGGCAUUUAGUUUAUAUGAGCUAGCUGAAGUGUACAAUCCUGUGUCCCGUAUCAGUAAAGGUUUGUUUUCCUAAAAAGGAAAUAGAUUAGAUGAUGCUAUUAAAUAAUGUAGUGGUUAAGAUUCUAGAUGCUAGAGUAAGACUAGCCCUAUUCAGAACCUGGCACUACUUCUCUGAUAAUGUAACUUCAAACUAUUUAAUCUCUCUAAACCUUGGUGCUUUGCGUAUAAAACAGGGAUCAUGACCAUACCUACUUCAUUCAUUUGUAAGACAGUGUUAAGAAAAAUAGUAAAUUUUUAAUAAGAGCUUUAUUGUCUUUUCUUGUAGCUAAAAGCUAUUGACAAAAUAACGCAUCUGUUUAUGAAUGUGAUUGAAUGAAAUGUUUGCUUUUAAAAAUACAUUGACCUAGUUGGGAAAAACUGCAUAAGGGAAUAAACUACAAAGUGAAUGAGUGGGAGGACUUGCCACAGAAGCAACAAAGACCAAGAAGCCGGUUACUUAGAGCUCAUCAAACCCUGGUUUAUGUUGCUCUGGAGGCCAUCUCUCUCUUCGAGACAGUCUCUGGAGUCUCCCAAAGUAAACCUCUUAUGUGUGGUAGGCUUACAUCCUUCUGGAGUCACUGAGGGUGGCAGUGUGGGGAAAAGCAGCAUCUGGUUUUAACCUUCACAGUUUCCUCCCAAGAGGGAAACAGGACCUGUUUUAUGGAAGAAGACCAUAGAGUUAAAGCGCUGUUUUCAUCACAUCAUAUGAAAGGUACCUACUAUGAAUGUGACUUAUCAGUGUUGAUAGUAGCCUUAGUCAGCUGGCUGAGGUAGUGUUUGCCAGGUUUCUGCACUGUAAAGUUGUUCUUUUUCUCUCUCUCUCCAUACUGCACUCUUUGGAAGGAAGUCACUAUGCUCAGUCUACACUGAAGGAGUGGGGGAGUUAUAUUCCAUCUUCUUGAGGACAGAGUAUCUACAUACAUUUUUUGGGAUUCUUCUGCACAUGAAAUUUAUCUUUAUUUAUUUAUUUGUAUCGGUAUGAACUCAUGGCUCUUUACUUUAUACUUUGGAUUAUAAUCCAAUAUUACUUUUAAUGUUUUUUUUUGUUCUAAUAGCUCUAGCUUUGGCCACUGGGAGCUCUUUCAGCUGUAUCCUGUGUCCUUUUGGUAUACGCCCUCAUCAAGUGUUUUCCCAGUCGGCAUGCAUUAAGAUUCAGUUUUUGUGUUGUAAGGUUUAUGGGUUUUGAUGAACACAUAGCAUCAUGUAUUCACUAUUACAUUAUGAUAUAGAGUAGUCUCACUGCCCUAAAAUAUCUCCUGUGCCUCAUUUACUCAGUCUUCCCCUGCCUGGAACCCCUGGCAACCAUUGAUCUUUUUACCAUUUCUAUAGUUUUACCUUCUCCGGGCUGUCAUAUCAUUGGAACCAUAUAUUAUGUAGCCUCUAUAAAUUGGAUUCUCUCACUUAGCAAUAUGUAUUUAAAAGUCAUAUUCAUAUUUUUAUGGUUUGAUGGUGUAUUUCUUUUUAUCACCGAAUCAUAUUCCAUUAUAUAGAUAUGCCACAGUUCAUUUAUCCUUUCACUUGUUAAAGGACAUCUUAGUUGCUUAUAGUUUUUGCAAUCAUGAAUAAAGAUGCUAUAUACAUUUGUGUGCAGGUUUUGUUUGGACAUAAAUUUUGAAACAAGUUAAUAUCUUUUUAACAUUUAUGUUUCAGUUUGUAAUUGUUGGUUUGUAAUCAUCUAGCUUUUAUAUGGCUUCUCACAUAGAGCUAUUUUAAAAAUAAUGAACAGUUUCACAUAAUAAAUCUGUUCAGAAUCAGGUACCAUCUUUUAUAAAGUAUAAACAAUAAACCCAUUAAUAUUUUAUGGAAUAAAGGGAACUUUAAAUAUAGGGCACUUUAGAAAUAUUUACAUUUAAUGUUUUUUGAAAUAUGAGCGGACCUGUGGUCUGACAAGGCCAUUUCUUUCAUAUCACAAACAGGGACAUUUAUAGGUGUUAAAUUAGCUGCAAAAUUGUUCCUUUAUUUCUCCCUCACUAAUAAAACAUGUUAAAAAUUACAUGUUUGGAAAUCCAAAUACAAGGAUUUGUAAGUUGAAGUAAUAAAUAUAGCACUAUAUUAGAUAACUAAAACCAGCUUCCUUUAUGUGAAUACCUAUCAGAUAGGACACAUGAAAUGCCAAGCAAUAACAAGCAAUGGAAAUAUUCUCCCUAGAUAUUUCAUCUCUAAAUGCAUGAAUGUGUUACCUAUAGUAUAAUCCUAUUAAAACAUAACUCGUUAUUCCAUAAGAUAUGGCUAUAUAUUAGAGUGGGAGGCAAAUAUAUUCACUGAAAGUCUAAAACAUGGUAACAAUUCUACAAGGAAGGAAGGAAGGAAGGAAGGAAGGAAGGAAGGAAGGAAGAAAGAAAGGAAGGAAGGAAGAAAGAAAGAAAAAAGAAAAGAAAAAAGCCUUUCUAUAACACUGUCUUUUAUCAAAUUGCAAGUUAGUCUUUGUCUUUAAUACUAGUAUUCAAAGAGAGUUCCUUCUUUGGGGAUGAAUUAACAAAAAAUUGCCCCCACAUUGUUACCACCUUAUAGAAUUUUCACUAUAUUUUCCCACAGUAUCCUUGUGCUGACUGGUCCAGCAAAGCUGAAGUAUAAAAUAUCCUGGCAUCAAGAAAGCUUUAACAUUGAAUGUUGUAUUUUAUGUCUUAAGUUAAUUGACGUAAAAUAUUUGAAAAACUGGAAAAGAUCAAGUACUAGGAGAAUGAGGGGCUUAAGAAUAUACUGGCUUGGGGCACCUGAGUGGCUCAGUCCAUUAAGCUUCCAACUUCGGCUCAGGUCAUGAUCUCACAGUUUGUGAGUUUGAGCCCCACGUCAGGCUCUGUGCUGACAGCUCAGAGCCUGGAGCCUGCUUCAGAUUCUGUGUCUCCCUCUCUCUGCCCCUCCCCUGCUUGUGUUCUCUCUCUCUCUCUCUGUCUCUCUCUCUGUCUCUCUCUCUCUCUCUCUCUCUCUCUACCUCUCUCUCUCUCUCUCCCUGUCUCUCAAAAAUAAAUAAACAUUUAAAAAGGAAUAUAUUGGUUCAAUAUA